GGGGUUGUGGCUCAGAGGUAGAGUGCUUGCCUACCAUGCAUGGGGCACUGGGUUCGAUCCUCAGCACCA
This 69-nucleotide transfer RNA is filed under the name Ictidomys tridecemlineatus (thirteen-lined ground squirrel). RNAcentral describes it as "Spermophilus tridecemlineatus (thirteen-lined ground squirrel) tRNA". It matches the Rfam family "tRNA". From Rfam's summary of the family: Transfer RNA (tRNA) molecules are approximately 80 nucleotides in length. Lineage: Eukaryota; Metazoa; Chordata; Mammalia; Rodentia; Sciuridae. The record is from Rfam by way of RNAcentral. RNAcentral also lists the same sequence under 1 other name.